GAUGAACGCUGGCGGCGUGCUUAACACAUGCAAGUCGAACGGAAAGGCCAGUGCUUGCACUGGUACUCGAGUGGCGAACGGGUGAGUAACACGUGGGUGAUCUGCCCUGCACUUCGGGAUAAGCCUGGGAAACUGGGUCUAAUACCGGAUAGGACAAUGGUUUGGAUGCCGUUGUGGAAAGUUUUUUCGGUGUGGGAUGAGCUCGCGGCCUAUCAGCGUGUUGGUGGGGUAAUGGCAUACCAAGGGGUCGUCGGGUAGACGGCCUGAGAGGGUGUACGGCGACAUAGUGGCUGAGAGACGGGCCAGACUCCUACGGGGGACAGCAGUGGGGAAUAUUGUGCAAUAGGGGCAAGCGUGAGACAGAGACGCCGCGUGGGGGAGAACGGCCUUCGGGUUGUAAACUCCUCUCGCGAGGGUCGAAGCGUAUUUGUGACGGUAACGGGAGAAGAAGCACCGGCUAACUACGUG
Molecule: ribosomal RNA, 468 nt
Filed under: uncultured bacterium
Lineage: Bacteria
Description: partial 16S ribosomal RNA
Rfam family: Bacterial small subunit ribosomal RNA
Source: RNAcentral